Molecule: ribosomal RNA, 543 nt
Filed under: uncultured Glomeromycotina
Lineage: Eukaryota; Fungi; Glomeromycota
Description: SSU rRNA
Rfam family: Eukaryotic small subunit ribosomal RNA
Source: RNAcentral
GCAAGUCUGGUGCCAGCAGCCGCGGUAAUUCCAGCUCCAAUAGCGUAUAUUAAAGUUGUUGCAGUUAAAAAGCUCGUAGUUGAAUUUCGGGAUCAAUAUUUCGGUCAUGCCGUUGGUAUGCACUGUUAUCAUUGAUUUCUCACCUUCUAAAGAACCAUAAUGCCAUUAAUUUGGUGUUACGGGGAAUUAGGACUGUUACCUUGAAAAAAUUAGAGUGUUUAAAGCAGGCUCACGCUUGAAUACAUUAGCAUGGAAUAAUGAAAUAGGACAUCCGAUUCUAUUUUGUUGGUUUCUAGGAUCGAUGUAAUGAUUAAUAGGGAUAGUUGGGGGCAUUAGUAUUCAAUUGUCAGAGGUGAAAUUCUUGGAUCUAUUGAAGACUAACUACUGCGAAAGCAUUUGCCAAGGAUGUUUUCAUUAAUCAAGAACGAAAGUUAGGGGAUCGAAGACGAUCAGAUACCGUCGUAGUCUUAACCAUAAACUAUGCCGACUAGGGAUCGGAUGAUGUUAAUUUUUUAAUGACUCAUUCGGCGCCUUACGGGAAAC